GUGCACCAGACGAGAAACCUCCGCAAUACACGAAAGUGUGACGGGGCCAUCCCGAGUGCCGUCCGCUGAGGACGGCUUUUCCCCAGUGUACACAGCUGGGGGAAUAAGGAGAGGGCAAGCCUGGUGUCAGCCGCCGCGGUAAUACCAGCUCUCCGAGUGGUGGGGACGCUUAUUGGGCCUAAAGCAUCCGUAGCCGGCUGGGCAAGUCCUCCGUUAAAUCCAACGAUCCAAUCGUUGGGCUGCGGGGGAUACUGUCCAGCUUGGGGGCGGGAGAGGCCGACGGUAUUCCCGGGGUAGGGGUGAAAUCCUAUAAUCCCGGGAGGACCACCAGUGGCGAAGGCUGUCGGCUAGAACGCGCCCGACGGUGAGGGAUGAAAGCUGGGGGAGCGAACCGGAUUAGAUCCGGGUAGU
This 411-nucleotide ribosomal RNA is filed under the name uncultured microorganism. RNAcentral describes it as "bacterial SSU rRNA". It matches the Rfam family "Archaeal small subunit ribosomal RNA", at positions 330 to 745 of the family's 1478-position model. The record is from RNAcentral.